This is a long non-coding RNA of Topomyia yanbarensis, 2172 nucleotides long. RefSeq lists it as uncharacterized. The record is from RefSeq and is a predicted model, not a curated record. NCBI's taxonomy places the organism in Eukaryota, Metazoa, Arthropoda, Insecta, Diptera, Culicidae. The transcript is spliced from 4 exons.
AACUAUUCCGUUUCGUGAUCAGGGUUGUGUUAAACUCGAAGAAAAUCUUCCGUUCCACAAAUAUUUGACAUUUCGUUCCACAGCUUCCACAUAGAGCUGUCAACAUUGUUUUGACUGUUGUUACUCUGAAUAUAAACAUUUGAUAUUAUAUUAUUGCUAUUAGAUAGAUUUCAAAUAGUUACAAACAAAAAGUUAAUGUUAAAUCUUUUUUGUACCACUGUUGUUCCAAAUCUUAGGAAAAAAAAAGUUUAUUCAGUUGGUAUAAGGACAGACAUGCAAUUUGAAGACAACAUAUAUGUGUAAUUAAAAUGACGACGAAAAUAAGUUGUUUUGAAAACGAGUGCGUAGUGUUCCAGUUAUGACCUAGUUCUUGUGGUGGUCAAGUUUCAUUGCAUUAUAGACUGCUUUUAUGUGUAUCAAAAUUUAUUCAUUGGCUACCAUUGUGAAUAACUUGCAAUGGACAAGUUCAUCUGAAACCUUUUUAUUAGAUAUUAAAACUCUAAUCAUUGGCUUAUUGUGUCGCAGUUUUCCCAAUUGUAGAUAGUAAAAUUAAAGUCGUUCCUAGCAAACAAUCGUGCAUUCUGUUGGUUAAUUUGAUCUGCAUAGUAUCAGUGAGUAGUUGAGGGAUAUAACAAUAUAAACAUUCGCGAUAUUCUAAUCUGCAUCUGUUUCUCAUGCUGAAUUAUCGAUAUAUCGUUUUGCAUCACCUGCUAUUUGUGACCAACGUGUAUUUGUUCCUGCUGUCCAACAAUUCGCUCGUUCAAAGGCAACAAACGGAGGAUAGCGAAUCGCUACCGGAACCAACGCAAAUUCUGCUGAUCGAUCGUGUCAAUUGUGCUUAACAACGAAUCGCUAUACUCCGGGCUGAUCGUGGUCCGGCACAAGAUGCUAUACCGGAUCUACGCUUGCACGGGAAAUUGUAACAUACCGAAACCGAAUGAGGGGGAAGAUGCAUCAAACGGUGCGGAAUCGUCCCCACUGGGCUACCGACCAACGUGUAAUUGUUCCUGCUGUCUGAAAGGUCGACCGGACUCGCUCGAUCAAGUACCAAACGGGAUACUGAGUCGCUACCGGAAGCGACACCAAUUCCGCUGAAAUCUAUCGUUUGUGUGUUACCACGAACCGCUAUACUCCGCGCUGAUCGUGCUCCGGAACGAAAUGCUACACCGGUUCUACGCUUGCAUGGGAAUUUUAAUCGUACCGAAACGGUAAGAGUCAAUGUCCAUCUGCUUCCAGUGUGCGGCAAUGAGAUUUCAGCUCGCCGGAUACACCACGGCCGCAGCUGCUUGUAGCAGGUGAAUUUGCUCAACACCAUAUUACGUUUAAAAGCGACCCAGACCGCCCGAAAUGUCACCUGAUUUGCUCUCUGAACGCGUUGCUCAUCCAGAGUUGCUUAUUUUGGCUAUUCGCAACUAACCUACACUGGAUACAAGUCGUUCCUGCAUCCGCCACCCGUGGACGCGCUCGAUGGCUCUCAACUGAGUUUGUGUAUGUAUGUGCCAUUAGGAGCCUUGAGGACAACCAUAACAACUGGGUGACUAAACAGAACAGCGGGACAUUAUGAUUUAGAGCAACACACCACCGUUCUAUGAAUCGUUGGGGUUUGCACCAUGCGAUGUAGAAUAAUAUAGUCAAUGAGACAAAAUAACUAAUCGAAUGAUUCACUGCGUAUAGUUUUUCUCAUGUUCCCAAUCUUCUAUUGGCAGACAGCCGCUUUAAAUAAUCGGUGCAACGUCGUAACAUUAUUUAGUGGAUUCUUGGUGGAAAUGUGGUGCUUCCUGCCGAUGUUGGUGACUCGAAGGCAAACCGAAUAAAAGGGCUCCAGAUUGAAACAGUUAAACAUAUAGGGUAGAUGAUUUAAUUUUUCUCAAACUAUUAGGGUGCUACACUAUGUUCCGAUGAAUAUACUGGAAGAGGUAGAGAUUUUGUGCGAAGUAGGGAUACCAAUUUUUUAUCCCAUAAUUUGAACAGCAGACGAUGUGUUCGGUUAGGUACAAUAAAUAGAUAGGCUACGAUGAUAUAAAGAGAUGUAACCCUCUCAGUGGGAGGCACGAUUCUCGAGAGUCUAAGAUAGAAUAUUUAUGCAAUUUCACCCGAUCGAAGUGAAUUAUAACUCUUACAGAAACAUGGACAAAUAUAUUGCGAAUGAAUAAAUUAUGUUUCUAAAGUAAA